Molecule: small nucleolar RNA, 115 nt
Filed under: Microtus ochrogaster (prairie vole)
Lineage: Eukaryota; Metazoa; Chordata; Mammalia; Rodentia; Cricetidae
Description: Small nucleolar RNA SNORA31 (ENSMOCG00000010610.1)
Source: RNAcentral
AUGCAUACACACACACACUAAAUACAGAAAUGUAAAAGCCACUAGGAUGCAAAAGAAAAUAAUCUCUGCACUUCCCAUCUCUGUGGCUGUUCACACUAAAUUGGGGAGUACAUAA